GACGGAAGGUGCAAGCGUUGCUCGGAAUCACUGGGCGUAAAGGGUGCGUAGGCGGCCGUGUAAGUCUGGCGUGAAAGCCCCGGGCUCAGCCCGGGAAGUGCGCUCGAAACUGCGCGGCUCGAGUGCCGGAGGGGAGAGUGGAAUUCCUGGUGUAGCGGUGAAAUGCGUAGAUAUCUGGAGGAACACCGGUGGCGAAGGCGGCAUCCUGGACCGAGAUUGACGCUGAGGCGCGAAAGCCAGGGGAGCAAACGGG
RNAcentral lists this ribosomal RNA (253 nucleotides) under uncultured bacterium. RNAcentral describes it as "partial 16S ribosomal RNA". It matches the Rfam family "Bacterial small subunit ribosomal RNA", at positions 524 to 776 of the family's 1533-position model. The record is from RNAcentral.